Molecule: long non-coding RNA, 1006 nt
Organism: Nicotiana tabacum (common tobacco)
Lineage: Eukaryota; Viridiplantae; Streptophyta; Magnoliopsida; Solanales; Solanaceae
Source: RefSeq, a predicted model, not a curated record
UGCUCAUAAGUAUUAAUCUCUGAAAGACUUCAACACAUAUAGAUAUUUCUUUGAGAGAACAUCCAUCAAGAGAAAGAAAAAAUGGUAUUUUUGCUGCAAAAUUUUACUCUGACCAGCCCGCUUCAAAUUAUAUUUUUCGAUUCAUUCUAAGGCCCGAUAAAGGUUCGCCAAGGAUUUAGGUAUUUAUGGUUACAAUGUAAGCUAGUGUGUUUGGAGGGUUGUAGAUAAUUUUCAUGGCGAGCUUCUGAGUCUUGGUGUGGAUUUUUGGACUGUACAAGACAUUCUUUUGUGCAUAAAAUGGCAUUUUUGUGGCUUAUUAUACGACCGCAGAUCUAUUUCGUUGACUACGAUAUCAUCACAGAAUGAGUUAGAAGCAACACAAUUUUGAUGGACAUUUCGUGGUGCAUUAUGCGAUCGCGAAUCUGACCAGAUCCAACCCAGAUUGUAAAGACCAUUUUGUGGGUUGUUCCACUGACCACGAAUUUGUUCCUUUAACCGCAGUUCCGUUGCAGAUUUGACAUCGAGGGGUUAUUUUUUUUUAAUUUCCUAAUUCGACUCUAUUUUGAGAUAAGGCCUUGGAGGGUUAUUUUAGAAGGUAUAACCUAAUAUUUUAGAGAGAGAGGGAUAAGCUCUAUCAUUUCCACACUUCAAAUUCUUGCUCAAAUUUUAGGUAUUCAUUAAGGAAAGUUCACAAGGUCUUCUACUAAAGAGGUGGUACCUUAACAGGCAGCAUGGACCCUUGAUAGCAGCAUACCCUCCACUCAGCGGAGUUGGUUAGCCCUACUCUACACCUGGGCCCAUAUGUUGUAUUGCUUUCUUUCACAUUACUUUUGAGGUUGCAGCAUAGGUUCACAUUACCUCCAUUGGAGAUUCAAGGCUUCCCUCAAGUUGGUUAUGCUGAUACCAAGAUGCCUCAAUCAAGUUUUACUCAAUCUACAAAUCAAACGGAUUUUUUCCUACUCCAGGUAUGUUAAGGCUAUCCCUUCUUUCUUUUGGCAUGAUCCAU